Long non-coding RNA from Drosophila innubila, 379 nucleotides. RefSeq lists it as uncharacterized. The transcript has 2 exons. The record is from RefSeq and is a predicted model, not a curated record. Lineage: Eukaryota; Metazoa; Arthropoda; Insecta; Diptera; Drosophilidae.
GAGGAGAAGUCGUCAAUUUGCAGGUUCUGUAAUGUCAUUAGUAUGCCCCAGGCUUGGAGACGUUUGGCUGGUGUUUUCAAUCUCGUGAACAGGAACAUUCGGGGAGUCCGGAUUUAUUAACGGCAGUGAAGGCAAACCCUGCAAAUUACUAACAUUUCUCUGUACUUCGUGCGAGGCGUCCGUUAAGUCAACAUAUUCAGUCAAAUCAACUGAUGUGUCAGUUGGUAUGAGGAGACAAAGAGGCACCGUCGACCCGUUUUGGUACGCAGAAGCAAUCACGUCACAGACAUCGGAUCUGUGUUCAUUACGCAGUGUAGUAAAUAUGUCAGUUUGAUGUAAUGCAUUAUUAGAACGUGAAUUAAAUUGACUGUUAUUGGAA